This 254-nucleotide ribosomal RNA is filed under the name Enterobacter sp. 50793107. Its description in RNAcentral is "partial 16S ribosomal RNA". It matches the Rfam family "Bacterial small subunit ribosomal RNA", at positions 884 to 1138 of the family's 1533-position model. Lineage: Bacteria; Pseudomonadati; Pseudomonadota; Gammaproteobacteria; Enterobacterales; Enterobacteriaceae. The record is from RNAcentral.
GGCCGCAAGGUUAAAACUCAAAUGAAUUGACGGGGGCCCGCACAAGCGGUGGAGCAUGUGGUUUAAUUCGAUGCAACGCGAAGAACCUUACCUGGUCUUGACAUCCACAGAACUUUCCAGAGAUGGAUUGGUGCCUUCGGGAACUGUGAGACAGGUGCUGCAUGGCUGUCGUCAGCUCGUGUUGUGAAAUGUUGGGUUAAGUCCCGCAACGAGCGCAACCCUUAUCCUUUGUUGCCAGCGGUCCGGCCGGGAAC